GUCCCAUUAGCUAGUUGGUGGGGUAAAGGCCUACCAAGGCGACGAUCUGUAGCGGGUCUGAGAGGAUGAUCCGCCACACUGGGACUGAGACACGGCCCAGACUCCUACGGGAGGCAGCAGUGGGGAAUAUUGGACAAUGGGGGGAACCCUGAUCCAGCCAUGCCGCGUGUGUGAAGAAGGCCUUUUGGUUGUAAAGCACUUUAAGUGGGGAGGAGGCUUACCUGGUUAAUACCUGGGCUAAGUGGACGUUACCCACAGAAUAAGCACCGGCUAACUCUGUGCCAGCAGCCGCGGUAAUACAGAGGGUGCGAGCGUUAAUCGGAUUUACUGGGCGUAAAGCGCGCGUAGGUGGUUAAUUAAGUCAAAUGUGAAAUCCCCGAGCUUAACUUGGGAAUUGCAUUCGAUACUGGUUAGCUAGAGUAUGGGAGAGGAUGGUAGAAUUCCAGGUGUAGCGGUGAAAUGCGUAGAGAUCUGGAGGAAUACCGAUGGCGAAGGCAGCCAUCUGGCCUAAUACUGACACUGAGGUGCGAAAGCAUGGGGAGCAAACAGGAUAAGAUACCCUGGUAGUCCAUGCCGUAAACGAUGUCCACUAGCCGUUGGGGGAUUUUGAUCCUUUAGUGGCGCAGCUAACGCGAUAAGUAGACCGCCUGGGGAGUACGGUCGCAAGACUAAAACUCAAAUGAAUUGACGGGGGCCCGCACAAGCGGUGGAGCAUGUGGUUUAAUUCGAUGCAACGCGAAGAACCUUACCUGGCCUUGACAUAGUAGAGACUUUCCAGAGAUGGAAAGGUGCCUUCGGGAAUCUACAUACAGGUGCUGCCUGGCUGUCGUCUGCUCGUGUCG
This 842-nucleotide ribosomal RNA is filed under the name uncultured bacterium. RNAcentral describes it as "bacterial SSU rRNA". It matches the Rfam family "Bacterial small subunit ribosomal RNA", at positions 235 to 1067 of the family's 1533-position model. The record is from RNAcentral.